This 198-nucleotide ribosomal RNA is filed under the name uncultured Klebsiella sp. Its description in RNAcentral is "partial 16S ribosomal RNA". It matches the Rfam family "Bacterial small subunit ribosomal RNA", at positions 334 to 524 of the family's 1533-position model. Lineage: Bacteria; Pseudomonadati; Pseudomonadota; Gammaproteobacteria; Enterobacterales; Enterobacteriaceae. The record is from RNAcentral.
UACUCCUACGGGAGGCAGCAGUGGGGAAUAUUGCACAAUGGGCGCAAGCCUGAUGCAGCCAUGCCGCGUGUGUGAAGAAGGCCUUCGGGUUGUAAAGCACUUUCAGCGGGGAGGAAGGCGUUAAGGUUAAUAACCUUGGCGAUUGACGUUACCCGCAGAAGAAGCACCGGCUAACUCCGUGCCAGCAGCCGCGGUAAU